GUGACGCACACAGGGAUUCCAAGGGUCUAGAUAAAACGGAGGAUUAUGGGGAAGCACCCAUCCACCAGCUGGUGGCACAUGAAAAGAUGAAGAGACAUGGCAGAGAGAAGCAACUUGCCUAAAGUCACACAGCUGCCUCAGAGACCAGACCAUGCAGACAGGGUUGGUUGGCUGUCCACUCAACGAGCUCAAUCUCUUCCUCCUUGCUGGAUGAUCUGUGAUUGUAUUCUGAUGCCCAGGAAAGCAAUCUCUUCAUAGCCCCAAGUGGCAAAUGUGCAUGUCAGGUCAACCUGGUAAUUCCAAGCCCCUUGCCACUGAUGGCUUCAGCUUCACCAUGGACACAUACUGCCAUCUUGGUCAAUGUAGCAGCUGAAGGGGGAGGGGUUUCUGAAAAAGAUUUUUGUUCCUGAUAAAAAUCAAUCCAUGUGGAGAAACUGCCCGUUUGACUAUAGGGCCAGAGUCACACUGUAAUCUCUGAAGGGAACAGACUUGC
RNAcentral lists this long non-coding RNA (493 nucleotides) under Mustela putorius furo (domestic ferret). RNAcentral describes it as "lncRNA (ENSMPUG00000031033.1)". Lineage: Eukaryota; Metazoa; Chordata; Mammalia; Carnivora; Mustelidae. The record is from RNAcentral.